Long non-coding RNA from Pantherophis guttatus, 405 nucleotides. RefSeq lists it as uncharacterized. The record is from RefSeq and is a predicted model, not a curated record. Lineage: Eukaryota; Metazoa; Chordata; Lepidosauria; Squamata; Colubridae.
UAAAUACAUAUCAAGAUUGACUGUUGAGCAGGCCAGGAGAAGACAUGUGACUUUAGGGUAACUCGAAGGAGAGCAGAGAGGAGCUAGGAAACCCUAAAGGAAGAGAUUGGGUUGUGUUUCCGGCAUUCGGUCUCCUCUACCGUUGACAAAAUAUGGGUGGCAGAUUAGGCAGUAGAGGAACAAAUGAAUGGGUGGCAAAGAAGCAACCUGUGUGAAUGGCAGGAGAUUUGUGAAUCUGCAGGAGUGUCCCAUUUUGCCUUGUGAAGAGACUUCUUUUUGCAGCGCGAGGCCUGCUUGAUCCUGCUAAAGAGAGAUGCUGAGAACUAAACCCUCCAUCUGCAGACCAAGCAGAAAUGGGUACCACUCGAUUCCUGUAGAUGCUUAAUAAAGACAGCUUUUAAAACA